This 313-nucleotide ribosomal RNA is filed under the name Escherichia coli. RNAcentral's name for it is "bacterial SSU rRNA". It matches the Rfam family "Bacterial small subunit ribosomal RNA", at positions 1050 to 1363 of the family's 1533-position model. Lineage: Bacteria; Pseudomonadati; Pseudomonadota; Gammaproteobacteria; Enterobacterales; Enterobacteriaceae. RNAcentral also lists the same sequence under 1 other name. The record is from RNAcentral.
UGUCGUCAGCUCGUGUUGUGAAAUGUUGGGUUAAGUCCCGCAACGAGCGCAACCCUUAUCCUUUGUUGCCAGCGGUCCGGCCGGGAACUCAAAGGAGACUGCCAGUGAUAAACUGGAGGAAGGUGGGGAUGACGUCAAGUCAUCAUGGCCCUUACGACCAGGGCUACACACGUGCUACAAUGGCGCAUACAAAGAGAAGCGACCUCGCGAGAGCAAGCGGACCUCAUAAAGUGCGUCGUAGUCCGGAUUGGAGUCUGCAACUCGACUCCAUGAAGUCGGAAUCGCUAGUAAUCGUGGAUCAGAAUGCCACGGU